UGGAUAAUAGUUCGAAUGACCGUGAUAUAAAUUUUGUCAAAAUUGUACGCAGCAGGCUGAAUUUAGCGGGGAUGCAGCAAGGUGCAUACUUCAUAGAGGUUUCAUAUUAUUUUCCUAGAUUUUCUAACUUUAUAAUAUGAUUUAAACGAUGAUAAAAAAAUUUUUUUUUAAUUAUCCCAAUUCGCUUAUUUUAAAUUGUUAUGGACUCAAUUAAAUCCCUAAUUAUGAUUUGACUUAAAAAAACAUAUGAGCCAUAAAGUCAUGAGGUCUUACCUAUAAGUAGUUGAAAUAUGUAUAUAUUUUUUUAAUCCAUUUUCACUUUUAUCAAAAACCAAAAAAAUAUUUAACUUAUACAUCUAAUGACUUACAAAAAGCAUUUUUUUAAGGGUGGUCCUUCGAGAUUUGUAGUUGCACCCCGGUUAGCUGCUGCACUCCGACUUUAAAGACUUAGAUCCAGCACUGUGUACGCUUUAUCAAUUCGGCAGUCGUAAUUGUCAAUCAAUCUGAAUUUGCACCGUCAUCCGCGAGUACGUAUCAAAAUCUAGGGGUUGAAGUUAGAAGAAAUUCCACUGGAACACAAGUCUCGUACAUACAUUUGCAAACCUCAUAACUUCUAGUAAUCUAGUCCAACGAAACAUGUCCAUUGUUGAGCGGGACCAUUUUCUUCCUCCAAAAAAAAAAAGAAAAAUGGAAAAUGAAGGGAAAUGGUCAAAAAUUAUUUUUUGGAGGAAAAUGGCUACGGCCCCAUUGUUUCUCAUUCUAUGGGCAAAGGGAUGGUUUCGUUUCUGCAGCCGAUUGCAAGCAGCCACUGCAGCGACAGUCGCAUACAGCAGACCUGGUUUUAUUUUUGCAGUCAACUACACGCAGUUGAAUACUACUUCGGUACAUCACUAACUAUCCUACCAUAAAAUAAUAUAAUAAAAUAAAUUACAUCUCAAGUACUUGAACAAAUAAUUGAAGAAGAAGAAUGCGAUGAACAAAUCUUAAGUUUGCUGUUCCUAAAAGUCAGCAAAAGAAAAAAAAGUAUGUAAUAUGUUUAUUGUUUAUAGCUAUG
Molecule: long non-coding RNA, 1054 nt
Organism: Aphis gossypii (cotton aphid)
Lineage: Eukaryota; Metazoa; Arthropoda; Insecta; Hemiptera; Aphididae
Exons: 3
Source: RefSeq, a predicted model, not a curated record